GUCUUUCAGUGCUUGAAGAAACUAGCUCUGAUGACUCCUCACCCGCUAAUAAGAAAUGAAGCUGUCAAUUCCAAUUUAAGAUGCCUACAGUAAGCAGUAAGACAGAAGUGAAAACUGCAAUGGAGGGAUCCUGUAAUUUUUCUUGUAAGAAAAAGCUGUUUGCUUUGAAAGCAUAAUCCAUAGAAGAAAGUGUGACAUCCAAAUAAUAUCUUCUUCUAAUCAGAUUGUAAUUCUUCAUAUUUAUUAAUAUACUUCAUUCAGCAGUUUAAAGGAACAGAAAA
Gossypium raimondii (Peruvian cotton) is the source of this 281-nucleotide long non-coding RNA. RefSeq lists it as uncharacterized. The record is from RefSeq and is a predicted model, not a curated record. The transcript is spliced from 2 exons. NCBI's taxonomy places the organism in Eukaryota, Viridiplantae, Streptophyta, Magnoliopsida, Malvales, Malvaceae.